AUUGAACGCUGGCGGCAGGCCUAACACAUGCAAGUCGAGCGGGGUUUUCGGACCUAGCGGCGGACGGGUGAGUAAUGCGUAGGAAGCUACCCGAUAGAGGGGAUACCAGUUGGAAACGACUGUUAAUACCGCAUAAUGUCUACGGACCAAAGUGUGGGACCUUCGGGCCACAGUGCUAUCGGAUGCGCCUACGUGGGAUUAGCUAGUUGGUGAGGUAAUGGCUCACCAAGGCGACGAUCUCUAGCUGGUUUGAGGGGAUGAUCAGCCACACUGGAACUGAGACACGGUCCAGACUCCUACGGAGGCAGCAGUGGGGAAUAUUGGACAAUGGGCGCAAGGCC
RNAcentral lists this ribosomal RNA (341 nucleotides) under uncultured bacterium. Its description in RNAcentral is "bacterial SSU rRNA". It matches the Rfam family "Bacterial small subunit ribosomal RNA", at positions 30 to 384 of the family's 1533-position model. The record is from RNAcentral.